Molecule: transfer RNA, 72 nt
Filed under: Ictidomys tridecemlineatus (thirteen-lined ground squirrel)
Lineage: Eukaryota; Metazoa; Chordata; Mammalia; Rodentia; Sciuridae
Description: Spermophilus tridecemlineatus (thirteen-lined ground squirrel) tRNA
Rfam family: tRNA
About the family: Transfer RNA (tRNA) molecules are approximately 80 nucleotides in length.
Source: Rfam by way of RNAcentral
UAGGAUGUAGCUCAGUGGUAGAGCACUUGCCUAGCAUGUGUGAGACCCUGGGUUAGAGCCCAAGCAUCCAAA